RNAcentral lists this ribosomal RNA (153 nucleotides) under Agaricostilbomycetes sp. TY-360. Its description in RNAcentral is "5.8S ribosomal RNA". It matches the Rfam family "5.8S ribosomal RNA". Rfam says of the family: 5.8S ribosomal RNA (5.8S rRNA) is a component of the large subunit of the eukaryotic ribosome. Lineage: Eukaryota; Fungi; Basidiomycota; Agaricostilbomycetes. The record is from RNAcentral.
AAAACUUUCAACAACGGAUCUCUUGGCUCUCGCAUCGAUGAAGAACGCAGCGAAAUGUGAUAAGUAAUGUGAAUUGCAGAAUUCAGUGAAUCAUCGAAUCUUUGAACGCAUCUUGCACUCUUUGGUAUUCCGAAGAGUAUGUCUGUUUGAGUG